This 301-nucleotide ribosomal RNA is filed under the name uncultured bacterium. RNAcentral describes it as "partial 16S ribosomal RNA". It matches the Rfam family "Bacterial small subunit ribosomal RNA", at positions 509 to 809 of the family's 1533-position model. The record is from RNAcentral.
CAGUAGCCGCGGGAAUACGUAGGGUGCAAGCGUUAAUCGGAAUUACUGGGCGUAAAGCGUGCGCAGGCGGUUAUAUAAGACAGAUGUGAAAUCCCCGGGCUCAACCUGGGAACUGCAUUUGUGACUGUAUAGCUAGAGUACGGCAGAGGGGGAUGGAAUUCCGCGUGUAGCAGUGAAAUGCGUAGAUAUGCGGAGGAACACCGAUGGCGAAGGCAAUCCCCUGGGCCUGUACUGACGCUCAUGCACGAAAGCGUGGGGAGCAAACAGGAUUAGAUACCCGUGUAGUCCCUGUCUCUUAUAU